RNAcentral lists this ribosomal RNA (914 nucleotides) under Hydnum jussii. RNAcentral describes it as "partial large subunit ribosomal RNA". It matches the Rfam family "Eukaryotic large subunit ribosomal RNA", at positions 39 to 961 of the family's 3401-position model. Lineage: Eukaryota; Fungi; Basidiomycota; Agaricomycetes; Cantharellales; Hydnaceae. The record is from RNAcentral.
CAUAUCAAUAAGCGGAGGAAAAGAAACUAACAAGGAUUCCCUUAGUAACUGCGAGUGAAGUGGGAUGAGCUCAAAUUUAAAAUCUGGUGGUCUCUGGCUGCCCGAGUUGUAAUCUAGAGAAGUGUUUUCUGUGCUGGACUGUGUUUAAGUUUCCUGGAUAUGGAACAUCAUAGAGGGUGAGAAUCCCGUCUUUAAUGCAGACUACCAGUGCUGUGUGAUACACUCUCAACGAGUCGAGUUGUUUGGGAUUGCAGCUCAAAAUGGGAGGUAAAUUCCUUCUAAAGCUAAAUAUUGGCGAGAGACCGAUAGCGAACAAGUACCGUGAGGGAAAGAUGAAAAGCACUUUGGAAAGAGAGUUAAACAGUACGUGAAAUUGUUAAAAGGGAAACAAUUGAAGUCAGUUGCAUCUACUUGGACUCAGCCUUACUUUGGUUUGGUGCAUUUCCUUGUGGAUGGGCCAGUGUUCAUGUUGAUUACUGGAAAAGGGGCUAGGGAAUGUGGCUCUUUCGGGAGUGUUAUAGCCUUGGCUCAUAUACAGUAAUUAAUAUGGAGUGGUACAGCAUGCUUCGGUGGUGCUUGUGCUGGCAUAAUGGCUUUAAAUGACCCGUCUUGAAACACGGACCAAGGAGUCUAACAUGUCUGCAAGUAUUUGGGUGAUAAACUCAAAUGCGUAAUGAAAGUGAUAGCUGGGAACCUUGUAAAGGGGGGCACCAGUGCCCCGAGCGGAUCUUCUGUGAUGCAUCGGAGGUAGAGCAUAUAUGUUGGGACCCGAAAGAUGGUGAACUAUGCCUGAAUAGGGUGAAGCCAGAGGAAACUCUGGUGGAGGCUCGUAGCGAUUCUGACGUGCAAAUCGAUCGUCAAAUUUGGGUAUAGGGGCGAAAGACUAAUCGAACCAUCUAGUAGCUGGUUCUGCG